This is a long non-coding RNA of Antechinus flavipes (yellow-footed antechinus), 5342 nucleotides long. RefSeq lists it as uncharacterized. The record is from RefSeq and is a predicted model, not a curated record. The transcript has 2 exons. Lineage: Eukaryota; Metazoa; Chordata; Mammalia; Dasyuromorphia; Dasyuridae.
AUCUGUCUUACAGGUUUGUGAGAAUCAAAUGAGUAGAAAAUAAAAAUUUUAUUCCUAGAGCUAUAUACAUGUCAGAUUAUGCUAUGAAUAGAACCCCAGGGAGGUAUAGUCAGAAAAACCAGAAUUCAAAUGUUCGCUCUGACACUCAUUAGCUGUGAUUCUGAGCAAAUUUCUUUACCUUCGUUUCCUCAUGUUAAAGUGGGGGUAAUAAUAACAUCUACUUGCCAGGGCUGUUAUGAGGAUUAAAUUAGAUAAUAAUUAUAAAGCACUUAGCACAGUGUCUGACAUGUAGUGGGUAUUAUAUAAAUACUAGCUAUGGUUGUUGUUAAGAAUUUCUCACAAAACAUUGUGCUGUGUUCUAGUUAAGUGUUUUUGACUAUAUCUCUUGUGUUCCAGUAUCCAUAUUGGAAUGAACUUAAUCAGCAGUGCUUUUUUUUUUUUUUUUUUUUUUUAAGAAGUAAUCCAAUGCUGAAGCUUGGCAACUCAAGAUUGGCAGUGGGAUAAAGGGACAAAGGAUUUGAGAGAAGAUGGCAAUGUAGAGUUGGAUUGGUUAACCAGAGGAUCAGUUUGGAAAAGGGAAGAGAAUAUAAUCAGUUCAGGAUUAGGUCAGGGAUUUGAAAUCAUAAUGAGGAUAAAGAGUAGGGUUUGGGGUUGUGAAACAUAGGGAGAUGUGUUUUGGAUACAAAGUACUUUUCCUGCCACUUGAUAUUUUUACAGAUUAGGAAAAAAAUUAAGAGAAGGUAAUUAACUUACUCAUGGUUGUGUUGUUAGUAAGUGUGAACACUGAAUUUAUGUAAAUUUUGACUUUAUUUCCUCUUUCUAUCCCAGUGCCACUGAAGAGGCUUUCAUUUUGCUUUGUUGUCUACUAGCUAGUUGAAGCACUACAUCUGUUUGAAAUAUAGGUAGCAGUUAUUUAUCAUAAGCUGGCUACAUCUGCUGGGUAAGUUGCCAUGACAUAUAGUGAAUGUACAUAUGAAAAACCGUCUUUCAGCAGGUCUAAAUCCCUUCUUACAGAUGGGGGUUAGAGAUCUAUUGAUGGAGAUGGGGAAGCCUGUAAUGUCCACACUAGCUUUCUGGAGGUCCUCUAGACAGGCCUUGGUCUCAGCAGGAUAGUCACCAUGAGGAUGGUCAGGAAUAGAGUUUAAAGUCUUUAUUGUCUUCUUUACAGUUUGUUCACUCUGACUGACUGACUGAUCAGUCCCAGUUCUCUCAGCCCUUAAGUACCCUAUUACAAUUAAAUUACAUCAUUACAGCAUACUGAGUAUAUGCCAACUAGAGUGAUUAUAUCAUUAUAUUAUACUAGAUAUAUGUGACCUAGAGAACCAUAUCUCACUAAUUCUACUGAGGUAACACUUUGUUGUAAGUAUCCUUGUUUCAAGUAUACUUCUCCCGAGUUCUGGCCUCUACAUCUCCCACUUUCUUUUGUUUUAGAACACAGUGGUCAUGCCCUCCCUGACUUCUCAGGAAAGGAGGUGAAAAUCAAAAAAGAGGUGAUCAUGCCCUCUUGACUUUACAGGAAGGUGAGAACACCAGACCAGAUAUUGUUAGCAUAUUUCCUCUGGAUUGAAGGGUCUUACUUGAAACAGAUAUACAUCAAUCCAUCAGCAUGGGAGUUAUAUGAGCACAUCGGAAUAUAACACAGGCUAGUAGAGAUUUAAGAAACAUCAUGAAUCAACGUGAGGAAUUAUACAUGUCCUAGAAAGAGGAUAUAUAAAUAACAAUCAUACAUACACUUUCAGCAGCCAAGAGCUAGUCCAAAAUCAAUCUAUUGUUCAUUACUUCAUGUGUCAGGGAAUCCAAUGAUUUCUGCAGAUUCGGAAGUCCUGCAGCAAUCUCAUUGACAAUUUUUGAUGUUCAUGAGUCAAUUGCCAUAACUGCAAUGCUCUUUCACUGACAUGUAUAGUUAGAGAGGAAACCAUCUGAUGUUUCUUGGAUCUUUUCCUUUGUUUCAAGGGUCUUCUCUUUUUCUGUCUCUCUCCAAUUGACAAGGCGGAUACAACUCAUUGGCACCCUCUGAUUCCUUCUUCAUCUGUAGAGAUACAAGAAAACCCUCUUCCCCAAACAGUUAAUCUAUCUGGUCCCUUCCAUUCACCAUUUUCUGGAUCUCUCCACAUCACCUGAUGAUUAUCUAAAGAUAUUGGAACUGCUGCCUUUCUGGUGGGUUAUAAAACCUGUCUACCAGAGCCAGCACUUCUUUAUCAAAAAUCAAAAAAUUAAUAGUGUAAAGAGCUAAAUUUAAAAGUUCUUUAGGGUUACCUGUGGCUCUCUCUUUUGUUUUUGGAGGAGGAUCUUGAUGUCUUUACUAUUGCCUAUCCUUGAGAAUUAAAAGGUGAAGAUGGCGGAGAAGGCACACAUGACUCUCUAAGCUCUUCUCAUUACCCUCAUAACCAACUUUUUAAUUCAGCCUCAAAAAUAGUUCUUCACUGCUUAAAUUCAUGAAGAUUAGAAGCACUACAACUUGCCAGCUGAAGUCAAUCUGGAAGAUCGCCAGGAAAGCUGGCUGGCAGGACAACAACCCGUCCAUACACCUUUCACUGCUCUGCAGAGGAAGCUGGUAACCUCCUGGCUCUGAAGGCAGACCCUACAGGCUUUAACAAAAUGAGUAGAAAAAUCAAAAGAUCGAUUGAAGUUUCUAUACAGAAAGAGAACAGCUUUUCAACCCUGAAGAGACUAAUAGUAGUCUUCAGACAAUUGUUGGUCUCCAAUACAAAAGGCUUUCCUAGAAGAGACUAUUAAAAACCUUAAAAGAGAACUAGAAGAAAAAUGGGGAAAGGAAAGAGAAGCUAUGCAAGAGAGCAACAACUUCCUAAAAUGUGAAUUAGAAAAGGCAAAAAACUCCCAAGAAGUACAGGGAAACAGAAUUUGUGAAUUGGAAAAAGAAAAUAACUCACUAAAAAAAAGAAUUAGUAAAUGGAAAAAAAAUUCCAUAGAGCAAAACAACUCAAUUGGACAUAUACAAAAAGAAGUAAAAAAAGCUAAUGAAGAAAAUAACUAAAAAUCAGAACUGAACAAAUAGAAAUGACUGAUUCAUUGAGACAUCAAGAAUCAGUCAAGCAAAACCAAAAAAAUGAAAGUUUGAAAAAAAAAAAGUCAAAUAUUUACUUGUAAAAACAACAGACCUGGAAAAUAGAUCUAGGAGAGAUAACCUGAGGAUCAUUGGACUAUGCAAAAAUUAUGAUGAUGAAAAAAAGAGCCUAGAUACUAUUUUACAGGAAAUCAUCAAAGAGAACUGCCCAGAAGUAAUAGAACUGGAAGGUAAAAUAGGCGUUGAAAGAAUUCAUUGAACACCUUCUGAAAAAGACCCUAAAAUAAAGACUCUGAGGAAUAUUGUGGCCAAACUUCAGAAUUUUCAGACUAAAGAAAAAAUUUUACAAGCAGCCAGGAAAAAAACAGUUCAAAUACUGAGAUGCCACAAUAAGGGUCACGCAAGAUCUGGCUGCCUCAACAUUAAGGGAUCGAAGGGCCUGGAAUCAGAUAUUCUGAAAGGCAAAAGAGCUUGGAAAGCAGCCAAGAAUAAACUACCCAGCUAAGGUGAGUAAUUUUUUCCAUGGAAGAAGAUGGACAUUUAAUGAAAUAGAAGAAUUCCAUUUGUUUCUAAGGAAAAAAACAAGACAAAACAAAAAAUUUGAUCUCCAACAACAGGACUCAAGAGAAGUAGAAAAAGGUAAAAGGAACUCUUGAGAACUGUAUGUCUGUUGUGGAUAUACAUAAAAACCAUAUGUAUAAUUUGAUUUUACCGAAAUAACAUAAAAAAGGGAAGUAGAAAUGGAAAGGGGAUAGUGUCAGAAAAAGGAAAAGGGGAGAUAAAAAGAGGGAAACUACAUACAACGAUGAGGCAAAGGAAACCUAUCAUAUCUGAGGGAACUUAGAAAGGGGAAGGAACAUUGUGUGAAUCCUACUCUCAUCAGAGUUGGCUCAAAGAGGAAAUAAUUGACAUAUUUGUUUUACAGAGAUUCUUCUCUCACUUCAUUAAAAAGUGGGAGAGGAAAAGAGAAAAGGAAAAAAGAGUAAUAAGGGAAGGAUACAAGAAAGGGAAGGGAUUCAAAGGGAGGAGGAAGGGAUACUAAAGAGGGAGAGCUGUGUGAUGCAAAUGUGACCAAUAAGUUUAAUACUAGGGAAGAAGGGAAGGAGGGCAAGAAAAAGAAAAGUAUAACCUGGGGAUAUUAGGAUGGCAGGAAAUACAGAAUUAGUAAUUUUAACCGUAAAUGUGAAUGGGAUGAACUCUCCCAUAAACAGGAGGCAGAUAGCAGACUGGAUCAAAAGUCAGAACCGUACAAUCUGUUGUUUACAGGAAACACAUUUAAAACAGGGAGAUACAUACAGAGUAAAGUUAAAAGGCUGGAGCAAAAUCUAUUAUGCUUCAGGUGAAAUAAAAAAAGCAGGAGUAGCCAUCCUCAUCUCAGAUCAAGCAAAAGCCAAAAAAUGAUCUAAUUAAAAGAGAUAAGGAAACUAUAUCUUGCUAAAGGGUACUAUAGACAAUGAAACAAUGUCAGUAUUAAACAUAUAUGCACCAAGUGGUAUAGCAUCUAACUUCCUAAAGGAGAAGUUUAAGAGAGUUGCGAGAAGAAAUAGACAGCAAAACUAAUAGUGGGAGAUCUCAAUCUUGCACUCUCAGAUUUAGAUAAAUCAAAUCACAAAACAAAUAAGAAAGAAAUUAAAGAGGUAAAUGGAAUAUCAGAAAAAUUAGGUAUGAUAGAUCUCUGGAGAAAACUGAAUGGUGACAGAAAGGAGUAUACUUUCUUCUCAGCAGUUCAGGGAACCUACACAAAAAUUGACAGACAUAAAGACCUCAAAAUUAAAUGUAGGAAGGCAGAAAUAGUAAAUGCUUUCUUUUCAGAUCACAAUGCAAUAAAAACUACAUUCAACAAAAAGUUAGGUGUAAAUAGACCAAAAAGUAAUUGGAAACUAAAUAAUCUCAUCUUAAAGAAUGAUUGGAUGAAACAGCAAAUUAUAGACACAAUUAAUUUCACUCAAGGUAAUGACAACGGUGAGACAUCAUACCAAAAUUUAUGGGAUGCAGCCAAAGUGGAAAUUUUAUAUCCUCAGAGGCUUACUUGAAUAAAAUAGAGAAAGAGAAGAUCAAUGAAUUGAGCCUGCAACUUAAAAAGCUAGAAAAAGACCAAAUAAAAAACCCCCAAUCAAUUACUAAACUUGAAAUUUUAAAAUUAAAAGGAAGAGUAAUAAUAUAGAAAGUAAAAAAAAAAAAAAAAACUAUUGAACUAAUAAAACUAAGAGUUGGUUUUAUGAAAAAAACCAAUAAAAUUGAUAAACCUUUGGUAAAUCUCAUUAGAAAAAGGAGAGAGGGAAAUCAAAUUAGUGGUCUUAAAAAUGAAAAGGGAGAA